RNAcentral lists this ribosomal RNA (663 nucleotides) under uncultured cyanobacterium. Its description in RNAcentral is "partial 16S ribosomal RNA". Lineage: Bacteria; Bacillati; Cyanobacteriota. The record is from RNAcentral.
GACUACUGGGGUAUCUAAUCCCAUUCGCUCCCCUAGCUUUCGUCCAUGAGUGUCAGUUGCGGCCUAGCAGAGCGCUUUCGCCACCGGUGUUCUUCCCAAUCUCUACGCAUUUCACCGCUACACUGGGAAUUCCCUCUGCCCCCACCGCACUCUAGCUGUGUAGUUUCCACUGCCUGUUCAGGGUUAAGCCCUGACCUUUGACAGCAGACUUACACUGCCACCUGCGGACGCUUUACGCCCAAUCAUUCCGGAUAACGCUUGCAUCCUCCGUAUUACCGCGGCUGCUGGCACGGAGUUAGCCGAUGCUGACUCCUCAGGUACCGUCAUUGUGUUCUUCCCUGAGAAAAGAGGUUUACGACCCAAGAGCCUUCCUCCCCCACGCGGUAUUGCUCCGUCAGGCUUUCGCCCAUUGCGGAAAAUUCCCCACUGCUGCCUCCCGUAGGAGUCUGGGCCGUGUCUCAGUCCCAGUGUGACUGGCCAUCCUCUCGGACCAGUUACUGAUCGGAGCCUUGGUAGGCUUUUACCCCACCAACUAGCUAAUCAGACGCGAGCUCUUCCCCAGGCAAUUAAUCUUUCACCUUUCGGCUUAUUCGGUAUUAGCCACCGUUUCCAAUGGUUGUCCCCAACCUGAGGGCCGAUUCUCACGCGUUACUCACCCGUCCG